RNAcentral lists this ribosomal RNA (446 nucleotides) under uncultured bacterium. RNAcentral's name for it is "SSU rRNA". It matches the Rfam family "Bacterial small subunit ribosomal RNA", at positions 26 to 518 of the family's 1533-position model. The record is from RNAcentral.
AGAGCGAACGCUGGCGGCAGGCUUAACACAUGCAAGUCGAGCGCUCGUAGCAAUACGAGAGCGGCAGACGGGAGAGUAACACGUGGGAACGUACCCUUCAGUUCGGAACAACCAAGGGAAACUUUGGCUAAUACCGGAUACGUCCGUAAGGAGAAAGAUUUAUCGCUGAGGGAUCGGCCCGCGUCUGAUUAGCUAGUUGGUGAGGUAACGGCUCACCAAGGCGACGAUCAGUAGCUGGUCUGAGAGGAUGAUCAGCCUCACUGGGACUGAGACACGGCCCAGACUCCUACGGGAGGCAGCAGUGGGGAAUAUUGGACAAUGGGCGCAAGCCUGAUCCAGCCAUGCCGCGUGGGUGAUGAAGGCCCUAGGGUUGUAAAGCCCUUUCGGCGGGAAGAUAAUGACGGUACCCGCAGAAGAAGCCCGGCUAACUUCGUGCCAGCAGCCGC